AGAAGCAUGCUAUAAGACAUGGUCAAUCAAGAUGGGAUUUGCCCCUCUCUGAUUGAGAGUGAUAUCUCUGGGCCCCUCGAGUGAUCGGAUCCGAAAAUGCAUGGCCAUGCUACAUACGGUUAAGAGUUAACCUACGAAGGGAUACCGAAUCUUAGGAUCGAGAAAGAGCGGUUGGCUUGAAGCUAGACCAAAUAUCGUGAGGCAAAGGGAAUAGCAUGUAUAUAAUGUUGUGAUGGUUCAUC
RNAcentral lists this long non-coding RNA (242 nucleotides) under Setaria italica (foxtail millet). RNAcentral describes it as "long non-coding RNA (SITA_LNC002321)". The record is from RNAcentral. Lineage: Eukaryota; Viridiplantae; Streptophyta; Magnoliopsida; Poales; Poaceae.